GACGAACGCUGGCGGCGUGCUUAACACAUGCAAGUCGAACGAUGAAGCCUAGCUUGCUAGGUGGAUUAGUGGCGAACGGGUGAGUAAUACGUGAGUAACCUACCUUUAACUCUGGGAUAAGCCUGGGAAACUGGGUCUAAUACCGGAUACGACCAAUCUCCGCAUGGGGUGUUGGUGGAAAGCGUUAUGUAGUGGUUAUAGAUGGGCUCACGGCCUAUCAGCUUGUUGGUGAGGUAACGGCUCACCAAGGCGACGACGGGUAGCCGGCCUGAGAGGGUGACCGGCCACACUGGGACUGAGACACGGCCCAGACUCCUACGGGAGGCAGCAGUGGGGAAUAUUGCACAAUGGGCGCAAGCCUGAUGCAGCGACGCCGCGUGAGGGAUGACGGCCUUCGGGUUGUAAACCUCUGUUAGCAGGGAAGAAGAGAAAUUGACGGUACCUGCAGAGAAAGCGCCGGCUAACUACGUGCCAGCAGCCGCGGUAAUACGUAGGGCGCGAGCGUUGUCCGGAAUUAUUGGGCGUAAAGAGCUUGUAGGCGGUUUGUCGCGUCUGCUGUGAAGGCCGGGGCUUAACCCCGUGUAUUGCAGUGGGUACGGGCAGACUAGAGUGCAGUAGGGGAGACUGGAAUUCCUGGUGUAGCGGUGGAAUGCGCAGAUAUCAGGAGGAACACCGAUGGCGAAGGCAGGUCUCUGGGCUGUAACUGACGCUGAGAAGCGAAAGCAUGGGGAGCGAACAGGAUUAGAUACCCUGGUAGUCCAUGCCGUAAACGUUGGGCACUAGGUGUGGGGGACAUUCCACGUUUUCCGCGCCGUAGCUAACGCAUUAAGUGCCCCGCCUGGGGAGUACGGCCGCAAGGCUAAAACUCAAAGAAAUUGACGGGGGCCCGCACAAGCGGCGGAGCAUGCGGAUUAAUUCGAUGCAACGCGAAGAACCUUACCAAGGCUUGACAUAUACUGGACCGCAUCAGAGAUGGUGUUUCCCUUCGGGGCCGGUAUACAGGUGGUGCAUGGUUGUCGUCAGCUCGUGUCGUGAGAUGUUGGGUUAAGUCCCGCAACGAGCGCAACCCUCGUUCUAUGUUGCCAGCACGUUAUGGUGGGGACUCAUAGGAGACUGCCGGGGUCAACUCGGAGGAAGGUGGGGAUGACGUCAAAUCAUCAUGCCCCUUAUGUCUUGGGCUUCACGCAUGCUACAAUGGCCGGUACAGAGGGUUGCGAUACUGUGAGGUGGAGCUAAUCCCUAAAAGCCGGUCUCAGUUCGGAUUGGGGUCUGCAACUCGACCCCAUGAAGUCGGAGUCGCUAGUAAUCGCAGAUCAGCAACGCUGCGGUGAAUACGUUCCCGGGCCU
RNAcentral lists this ribosomal RNA (1347 nucleotides) under uncultured bacterium. RNAcentral describes it as "bacterial SSU rRNA". It matches the Rfam family "Bacterial small subunit ribosomal RNA", at positions 28 to 1381 of the family's 1533-position model. The record is from RNAcentral.